This 968-nucleotide long non-coding RNA is filed under the name Bos grunniens (domestic yak). RNAcentral describes it as "lncRNA (ENSBGRG00000001933.1)". The record is from RNAcentral. Lineage: Eukaryota; Metazoa; Chordata; Mammalia; Artiodactyla; Bovidae.
ACAGCUGCACAGAGGCCAGCAUGGCCGUCCCCCAAGUGCCCACAGCAGACAGAGAGUGAGGAAGGCGGGUGGGUCUGAGCUGGAAGGAGGCUGCCUGUGAAGGGCAUGCCUGCCUGGCUGCAUUAAUGAGAAUAUAGCAUCCGGGAUGGUGGAGGGGACACAGCUGGGGGAGCAUCACCAUGAGCAGCACUCCCGGUGGGAGGGGCUUGCGGGGCAGAGCCGCUCAGGAGAGGCCGGCUCUGGGGUUUGGAAGCUGCAAGAAGGGCAGCGGGGAGCAGCCAGUGGCCGGCUCUGGUGCAGACACAGGUGGGAUGGGGCUGGAGCCCGGGGCGAGGUGCAGAGAGGGGGUCAGCGCCCACAGAGGAGGACGUUGCUGGUGACCCAGGGGCAUCCCAGGACUCGCUGAGGGGAUGAGCCUGCGAUGCAUGGUGAGACUGCAGCUCCUCCGGGGACCUGGCGUGCCCGUGCCCUCUGCAGACGGCGGCACGGCCUUGGUCCUCUCUGCCCGCAGCUGAGCAUCUCUCGAGUCCACCCGUGGGCGCCGUUCCAGGCGGCGCUGGGCCCGGAAGCUCCGAAGACUCGCUCAGGCUGCAGGCUGGCGUCCUGGGUUCUGCCUCAGCGUCCAGGGCCGCGCGGGUGUUUCUGCGUUUGCCUGUGACCGCGUGUCCUCAGGAGGGCUGCGAGAGGCCCCUCUGCAGGUGUGGGGUCCUUCCCAGAGUCCACUCUGGAGCUGACCCCCUUGUCUGGGCCGACCGUCACCUGGGCUUCCUUCUCCCACGCUGGCUUCUCAUUCGUGAGCAUCUGUAAUAAGACGAUCCGUUUUCAUGUUUUAGUUCUGUUUCCCAGCCAUGUGCUCGGUGAUCUUCGUGGCAGUUCUUCCCGUCUGAUUCUCGUGGGUUUCCCGGGAGCCUGGGGGUAAUUCAGCUCCUUCUUCCUGUUUUAACCCUCUGAUCUGCCCCCCACCCCCA